This 68-nucleotide transfer RNA is filed under the name uncultured Prevotella sp. The stretch from base 5 to 65 matches the Rfam family "tRNA", at positions 7 to 64 of the family's 71-position model. Rfam says of the family: Transfer RNA (tRNA) molecules are approximately 80 nucleotides in length. Their secondary structure includes four short double-helical elements and three loops (D, anti-codon, and T loops). The record is from RNAcentral. Lineage: Bacteria; Pseudomonadati; Bacteroidota; Bacteroidia; Bacteroidales; Prevotellaceae.
GGAUGUAGUUCAGUUGGUUAGAGCGUCAGAUUGUGGUUCUGAAUGUCGUGGGUUCGAGUCCCAUCCUC